GAUGAACGCUGGCGGCGUGCUUAACACAUGCAAGUCGAACGGAAAGGCCCAAGCUUGCUUGGGUACUCGAGUGGCGAACGGGUGAGUAACACGUGGGUGAUCUGCCCUGCACUUCGGGAUAAGCCUGGGAAACUGGGUCUAAUACCGGAUAGGACCACAUUUUGGAUGGUGUGGUGGAAAGUUUUUCGGUGUGGGAUGAGCUCGCGGCCUAUCAGCUUGUUGGUGGGGUAAUGGCCUACCAAGGCGUCGACGGGUAGCCGGCCUGAGAGGGUGUACGGCCAAAUUGGGAUGGAGAUACGGCCAAGACUCCUACGGGAGGCAGCGGUGGGGAAUAUUGCAAAAUGGGGGCAAGCCUGAUGCAGGGAGGCGGCGUGGGGGAGGACGGCCUUCGGGUGGUAACUCCUUUCGCUAGGGACGAAGCGUUAUGUGACGGUACCUGGAGAAGAAGCACCGGCUAACUACGUG
RNAcentral lists this ribosomal RNA (465 nucleotides) under uncultured bacterium. RNAcentral's name for it is "partial 16S ribosomal RNA". It matches the Rfam family "Bacterial small subunit ribosomal RNA", at positions 28 to 507 of the family's 1533-position model. The record is from RNAcentral.